UAGUCUGGGAAACUGCCUGAUGAGGGGGGAUAACUACUGGAAACGGUAGCUAAUACCGCAUAAUGUCGCAAGACCAAAGUGGGGGACCUUCGGGCCUCAUGCCAUCAGAUGUGCCCAGAUGGGAUUAGCUAGUAGGUGGGGUAAUGGCUCACCUAGGCGACGAUCCCUAGCUGGUCUGAGAGGAUGACCAGCCACACUGGAACUGAGACACGGUCCAG
Molecule: ribosomal RNA, 218 nt
Filed under: uncultured bacterium
Lineage: Bacteria
Description: partial 16S ribosomal RNA
Rfam family: Bacterial small subunit ribosomal RNA
Source: RNAcentral